This 506-nucleotide ribosomal RNA is filed under the name uncultured bacterium. RNAcentral describes it as "partial 16S ribosomal RNA". It matches the Rfam family "Bacterial small subunit ribosomal RNA", at positions 29 to 523 of the family's 1533-position model. The record is from RNAcentral.
AGUGAACGCUGGCGGUAGGCCUAACACAUGCAAGUCGAACGGCAGCACAGGAGAGCUUGCUCUCUGGGUGGCGAGUGGCGGACGGGUGAGGAAUACAUCGGAAUCUACCUUUUCGUGGGGGAUAACGUAGGGAAACUUACGCUAAUACCGCAUACGACCUACGGGUGAAAGUGGGGGACCGCAAGGCCUCACGCGAUUAGAUGAGCCGAUGUCCGAUUAGCUAGUUGGCGGGGUAAUGGCCCACCAAGGCGACGAUCGGUAGCUGGUCUGGGAGGAUGAUCAGCCACACUGGAACUGGGACACGGUCCAGACUCCUACGGGAGGCAGCAGUGGGGAAUAUUGGACAAUGGGCGCAAGCCUGAUCCAGCCAUACCGCGUGGGUGAAGAAGGCCUUCGGGUUGUAAAGCCCUUUUGUUGGGAAAGAAAUCCUGUCGAUUAAUACUCGGUGGGGAUGACGGUACCCAAAGAAUAAGCACCGGCUAACUUCGUGCCAGCAGCCGCAGUAA